Molecule: long non-coding RNA, 1367 nt
Organism: Salvia miltiorrhiza (redroot sage)
Lineage: Eukaryota; Viridiplantae; Streptophyta; Magnoliopsida; Lamiales; Lamiaceae
Exons: 4
Source: RefSeq, a predicted model, not a curated record
UUUAUUAAUUUAUUUAAAUAAUUAUCAAUUAAAAAUUCCCAAAAUUAAAAUCCCUAACCCCAAAUCGCAACCCCCUUUCUUGUUCCCAAACUCUCAACUCGCCUGCCACGCCGCGACCACCAUCUCGCCGCCGCAAUCCGCUCUGCCUGCCACGCCGCGCCCCCCAUCUCGCCGCCCCUCUCCUCUGUCUGCUAAUCUUAGGCGUGGCUACCCGCACCGGCUGCCAUGCUGCGCCCAACGACUCGCCGCCCCUCUCAUUGUCGCGAACCCUAAGCGCCGUGACCAGCGCCGCCGGCCACGCCUCGUCCCCAAUCUCGCCGCCAAUGUCUUCGUCGCUAACCUCAGGCACCGCACCCCCGCUCUCGCGACCCCUGUCCUCAUUGCUAACCCUAGGCGUCGCCUCCCUCCCCCAUCGGUGAAAAGCUUUCCACCCGCCGCCUUCUCCGCCUGUCUUGGCUUCGCCUAGCUCGCCCUCUCAGAAGCAGAGCCCCUAAUUCAAAACCCUAGCCCAAAAUCAGACAGCAAAUGGGGUGAGGAAAAGGCCAGAAUCCUAGGCUAAAUUUUUGGUUUGAGGAGUUGAUGUGAGUAACAAGGGGACCGUUGGGGAGCUGAAGCAAGCUGUUGAAGCAGCUUUUGAUCAUUUGCCAAAAGGGGGGACUGGCAGAGUUUCAUGGUCACCCUUCGAUGCUGAUCAGACGUAUCUCAACCGUAAAUCCUUCCCCCAAAACCUGAAUCGCUGUAGGUAAGUAUACGUAUUAGUGUCGAAGUCGGAACAGUUGUCGUUUCUUAAGAGUGUUUUUGUAAUCCGAACGAUCAUUGCUUGAUAUACGAUUGGCGUUGUGGAUUCUGUUUGGUUCAAUAGCUCUGCAGCUGCGGCUGGAGUGCCGGAACUUGCGCACAAGAUCAUUUAUCGGUGGAAUGAAGGUACUCGUGCUGAAUUUUGUGGCUGUGUGUGGAUGAGUGCUUUUAUUACGCCACUUGCUAAAUUUAAACACAUACUUUUGUUUUUUUAAACUUUGGUGUUCAUAUUAUUGUCUAUUAUUGUAUUCGUUAGUUGUGCACUGUGUAUAUUAUUAUGCAGCUUCUUUUGAGGUGCGGCAGUUGUACAAGACAUUUGUGGCGGCUGUGGCAUCGGAGGAGUUUCAGCAAGUGGUAGUACAAGCGUAUAGACUAUCCAGUGGGACUUCUGAAUCUGAAGAGAGACAGGGAUAGAAGAAUUUUGUCAAAAAAGUGAUGCUUUCUUCUAUAUUAUUUUUAGUUGCUACAAUUAUGUUUAAAGUACAAUGCAAAAAAUUCUUAAAUUAUUGUAAUGACUAUUGAAUAUUGAACUCGCGUUAAAUUUAUGUAUUUUGAUUUGUGUUUAUUAA